Molecule: ribosomal RNA, 917 nt
Filed under: uncultured Duganella sp.
Lineage: Bacteria; Pseudomonadati; Pseudomonadota; Betaproteobacteria; Burkholderiales; Oxalobacteraceae
Description: bacterial SSU rRNA
Rfam family: Bacterial small subunit ribosomal RNA
Source: RNAcentral
CAAGUCGAACGGCAGCACGGAGCUUGCUCUGGUGGCGAGUGGCGAACGGGUGAGUAAUAUAUCGGAACGUACCCAGGAGUGGGGGAUAACGUAGCGAAAGUUACGCUAAUACCGCAUACGUCCUAAGGGAGAAAGCAGGGGAUCGCAAGACCUUGUGCUCAUGGAGCGGCCGAUAUCUGAUUAGCUAGUUGGUGGGGUAAAAGCCUACCAAGGCAACGAUCAGUAGCUGGUCUGAGAGGACGACCAGCCACACUGGAACUGAGACACGGUCCAGACUCCUACGGGAGGCAGCAGUGGGGAAUUUUGGACAAUGGGGGCAACCCUGAUCCAGCAAUGCCGCGUGAGUGAAGAAGGCCUUCGGGUUGUAAAGCUCUUUUGUCAGGGAAGAAAAGGCUGUGGCUAAUAUCCACGGCUCAUGACGGUACCUGAAGAAUAAGCACCGGCUAACUACGUGCCAGCAGCCGCGGUAAUACGUAGGGUGCAAGCGUUAAUCGGAAUUACUGGGCGUAAAGCGUGCGCAGGCGGUUUUGUAAGACUGUCGUGAAAUCCCCGGGCUUAACCUGGGAAUGGCGAUGGUGACUGCAAGGCUAGAGUUUGGCAGAGGGGGGUAGAAUUCCACGUGUAGCAGUGAAAUGCGUAGAUAUGUGGAGGAACACCGACGGCGAAGGCAGCCCCCUGGGUCAAAACUGACGCUCAUGCACGAAAGCGUGGGGAGCAAACAGGAUUAGAUACCCUGGUAGUCCACGCCCUAAACGAUGUCUACUAGUUGUCGGGUCUUAAUUGACUUGGUAACGCAGCUAACGCGUGAAGUAGACCGCCUGGGGAGUACGGUCGCAAGAUUAAAACUCAAAGGAAUUGACGGGGACCCGCACAAGCGGUGGAUGAUGUGGAUUAAUUCGAUGCACGCGAAAAACCUU